GGGCUUAUAGCUCAGCUGGUUAGAGCGCACGCCUGAUAAGCGUGAGGUCGAUGGUUCGAGUCCAUUUAGGCCCA
Molecule: transfer RNA, 74 nt
Filed under: Enterococcus faecalis
Lineage: Bacteria; Bacillati; Bacillota; Bacilli; Lactobacillales; Enterococcaceae
Also listed under: 2 other names
Description: tRNA-Ile
Rfam family: tRNA
About the family: Transfer RNA (tRNA) molecules are approximately 80 nucleotides in length.
Source: RNAcentral